RNAcentral lists this ribosomal RNA (468 nucleotides) under uncultured bacterium. Its description in RNAcentral is "partial 16S ribosomal RNA". It matches the Rfam family "Bacterial small subunit ribosomal RNA", at positions 28 to 507 of the family's 1533-position model. The record is from RNAcentral.
GACGAACGCUGGCGGCGUGCUUAACACAUGCAAGUCGAACGGAAAGGCCCUGCUUUUGUGGGGUGCUCGAGUGGCGAACGGGUGAGUAACACGUGAGUAACCUGCCCUUGACUUUGGGAUAACUUCAGGAAACUGGGGCUAAUACCGGAUAGGAGCUCCUGCUGCAUGGUGGGGGUUGGAAAGUUUCGGCGGUUGGGGAUGGACUCGCGGCUUAUCAGCUUGUUGGUGGGGUAGUGGCUUACCAAGGCUUUGACGGGUAGCCGGCCUGAGAGGGUGACCGGCAACAUUGGGACUGAGAUGCGGCCCAGACUCCUACGGGAGGCAGCCGUGGGGAAUAUUGCACAAUGGGCGGAAGCCUGAUGCAGCAACGCCGCGUGCGGGAUGACGGCCUUCGGGUUGUAAACCGCUUUCGCCUGUGACGAAGCGUGAGUGACGGUAAUGGGUAAAGAAGCACCGGCUAACUACGUG